GGAUGACAAAAUAUGAAAAAUAAAGAAAGAAUAAUGAGUAAGAUAUAUAAAAUGUAGAAAAAAAUGACAUAACAAUUUAAAGAAUACAGAAAUAAACAAUACCCCCAAUCCGGACCCUAAUGGUAUACACGAGAAUCUGGAUGGAAACGCAGAUUCUAAUGCAACAACGUUUGUAACGUUCGUUCAUUUUGAUUGGAUAACGUCACUUUUU
RNAcentral lists this long non-coding RNA (211 nucleotides) under Mytilus galloprovincialis (Mediterranean mussel). Lineage: Eukaryota; Metazoa; Mollusca; Bivalvia; Mytilida; Mytilidae. The record is from RNAcentral.